RNAcentral lists this ribosomal RNA (254 nucleotides) under uncultured bacterium. RNAcentral's name for it is "partial 16S ribosomal RNA". It matches the Rfam family "Bacterial small subunit ribosomal RNA", at positions 524 to 776 of the family's 1533-position model. The record is from RNAcentral.
UACGGGGGGAGCAAGCGUUGUUCGGAUUUACUGGGCGUAAAGGGCGCGUAGGCGGCCAGCGCAAGUCAGUUGUGAAAUCUCCGGGCUUAACUCGGAAAGGUCAACUGAUACUGCGCGGCUAGAGUGCAGAAGGGGCAACUGGAAUUCUCGGUGUAGCGGUGAAAUGCGUAGAUAUCGAGAGGAACACCUGCGGCGAAGGCGGGUUGCUGGGCUGUAACUGACGCUGAGGCACGAAAGUGUGGGGAUCAAACAGG